Jatropha curcas is the source of this 2335-nucleotide non-coding RNA. The record is from RefSeq and is a predicted model, not a curated record. NCBI's taxonomy places the organism in Eukaryota, Viridiplantae, Streptophyta, Magnoliopsida, Malpighiales, Euphorbiaceae.
AAGAAAAAGAUACCCUUUAAUAACCAAUCAAUCAGUUUAUUAAUAUAAACAUAAAAACAAUUAUAGAACAAAGCCAAAUAAAUAACAAUUUAAGAAAAAGAAAACAAUUGAAUAUUGUAAUCAACCACAAAACCCAUUAAAAACGAAAAGAAAAAAAAGAAAAAAAGAAACGAGGCAACGAGGAGGAACCUGGAGGACCCAAAAGCACGCCAAGUGAGAGUACCCGAAAGAAACGAAGCAGAAACGGCCGAAAGAGAGCCCAGUGAUUAAAAUAGAAGAUCCCUCCACCAUCAACAUCCCCACCUCCGCCAACUUCUCCACCGCCGCCUUCAUCAUCUCCACCUCCACCAUCUCUGUGUAUUUUUAUUUAUUUCUCUUCUCCAAAGCUCGAAUACAUCCUUGUCAUGGACAAAAAGACUGCAAAAUCUUGGCUAAAGGCACAUGAGAGUGUUUUCUAUGGUUGUUUUCAUAGUGUCAAUGUCCAUGUGGUGUUUAACGCCAAAUACGCAGUGGACUAUGGUGUUUGCCUCUGGGCGGCUGGAGUCAGUGGCUAGUCGGGGAUAUUUACAGGUGAAGCCAUUUUUAAUUAGGUAAGAGAGUAGGAUUAUUGUUUAGUUUGUUGUAAUAAAAGCUUCUAAAGGAUAUGAAGCUGUUAUGUUGCAUAUAUAUUAAGUACAGGGAAAAUAAUUAAUUUGUCGUGAGUCCACUGUUACAUGGAAAGAGGGAAGUUGGCAAAUCUGCAAACUUGCUCGAGCUUGUGGCAGAAGACAAGGACGUCACUCAAAAGGAACAAACUUAGGACGUGCAGGGGAAAUCAAUGGACCUAGGUUCGUAGGUUCUUUGUAACAAAUUUUAACCUCUUUCAGAAAUACUCUAUUCAAUAUCCUGAAGUAAGCAAUUACUUCAUCUGUGUAUAUCAUUUUAGGUAAAACUAAGAGAAUGAAGUGUUUUGUCUUUUGUAAGUUGCAUUUUCUACUCAAUCUGGUGCUUACAAAUGAUUUCCAGGCUUAUUGGUCAAUUGUUCUAAGAGAGCUUUCAUUUGUAUUUCAUCAAGCCCAAAAGUGUACUCUUGACACCACUGACAAAUUGAAACAUCGGAGAACAUGGCUGCCAGGUUCAGUUCUGAAUACUGCUGAAUGCUGUUUGCAGUCUGCAAGUCAUCCUAGAAAAAAAGAUGAGAUUGUAGCAAUUGUGUAGAGAGAUGAAAAUGAUAAUUCCAAAGUGAAUCAUAUGACAUUGAAAGAACUUCAAGAACAGUUGGUGGCUAAUGCACUAGAUGCAAUGUUUACAAAGGGCGAUGCGAUGGCAAUUGACAUGCCAAUGACAGUCAAUGCUGUUGUUACAUACUUGGCUACUGAAUUAGCAGGAUUUGUUGUUUUAUUGAUAGCUGACAGCUUUGCAGCCAAGGAAAUUGCCAGUGGUUUGCAUAUUUUCAAUGCUGAAGCUAUCUUUACUCAGUCUGCAUAUGAUACUCUGUCUCUGUCUCCUCCUUACUCUUUUGGGGCUCUGAUACCUGCCUAGAGGAGUACGAAAAUUUCCAUUGCAUAGAGAGCAACCCCUUAUAAGAGUUCAUUCAAAGUUUGCUUGGAGAAUGAUCUGCAAGUAGCAACUGAAUGGUGUCACUGUCAGGUAUGAGAAGUGAAGUAAGCAAUUGAUUCUGCCCCAAAAUGAGAUGGGAUGAAAGUAUCUCAGUGCCUAUCUGUCUCUGGUUGAGUGCCUCCCAUUUUUAUGUCAUUUGGGUUGAGCUGAGGCUGGCCUCUAAAAUAUUGAAUCAAAUGAGCUUCAUACCUUGGUGGAAGCCCUUAUUUGGAGCACCUAAUGUCAUAGAAACGAGUUACAGCUAUCAGUGGCUUUCUACUUGAUGAUAAUGAUGAGACUGAUGACAAGUUACUAUGUUUAGGCUCAUCUGAUUGGGGACGUUGAUUGACAACCAUUGGGGGAAGGUGGUGGCUACAGCUCGGAGUCCUGAUAUGAAUUGGUCGACGAUGGCAAUGACAAGCUUCUGAGGGAAAGAACGGCACUACUAGUUUUCUGCUAUUCUUCCACUGAGAAGAACCAGACCAACCAACAUCUAGAAAUUUUUUUAAGCCUUGCAAAACAUUUUCUUUUUUUUUGUUUUGGCCCCCUUUUAAUUAUUUUUAAAAUUUUUCCUCAUCCCCCUUAAUUAUUUUGGAGUAUCCUUCAUUGAUGAUCUUUCUCAAAUACCUUUCGUGUCCCUCAAUCCGUCGCUGAAGGGCUUUUUGUACCUAUGUCAAGCAUAUUCAAAUAUAUUUUUUGGAUGAAUAUUGCAUUUGGGAAUAGAUAUCUAAAUUUCAAUUCCUGGUAAUUUUUUUAA